Molecule: ribosomal RNA, 387 nt
Filed under: uncultured Desulfovibrio sp.
Lineage: Bacteria; Pseudomonadati; Thermodesulfobacteriota; Desulfovibrionia; Desulfovibrionales; Desulfovibrionaceae
Description: bacterial SSU rRNA
Rfam family: Bacterial small subunit ribosomal RNA
Source: RNAcentral
CUGGAAACAGAGAAGUGCUUUAGCAAUAAAGAACCCGGUGACAGGUGCUGCAUGGCUGUCGUCAGCUCGUGUCGUGAGAUGUUGGGUUAAGUCCCGCGACGAGCGCAACCCUCGCCUUUAGUUGCCAGCAUUCAGUUGGGCACUCUAGAGGGACUGCCGGUGUCAAACCGGAGGAAGGUGGGGAUGACGUCAAGUCCUCAUGGCCUUUAUGUCUAGGGCUACACACGUACUACAAUGGCCGGUACAAAGGGCAGCCACUCAGCGAUGAGGCGCUAAUCCCAUAAAGCCGGUCUCAGUCCGGAUCGCAGUUUGCAACUCGACUGCGUGAAGUUGGAAUCGCUAGUAAUCGUAGAUCAGCAUGCCACGGUGAAUACGUUCCCGGGCCUU